RNAcentral lists this long non-coding RNA (342 nucleotides) under Equus asinus (donkey). RNAcentral describes it as "lncRNA (ENSEASG00005026798.1)". The record is from RNAcentral. Lineage: Eukaryota; Metazoa; Chordata; Mammalia; Perissodactyla; Equidae.
UGGCAACUGACAGACGGGUGAUGUGGUUCCACGACCAGGAAGCCAACCCAGGCUGCUGAAGAGGCUUUCAGCCGUAUUGGCACUGGGAAGGAGACGAGGAGGAUAUGAUGUUAAGGGACCUCCACGCCCAGCAGGAAAGGGGAGGAAAAGCAUUUAAGGGCAUGGCAAACAUCUGUCUACCAAACAUUUGCUUUUCCAUCUCCUUGUGAAUUACCUUCCUCCCCUUUGAAGUCCCAAACCACUACUCCCAACGUCCUCUUUCGUCUUUAGCUGAAGAUGAUAUUUGAGGUGGUGGCUUCAGCCAUUUUGUCAAAUUACUCAGUUUUCCUGGGUUCCUCCCAU